UGGGGAAUAUUGCACAAUGGGCGAAAGCCUGAUGCAGCAACGCCGCGUGAGCGAUGAAGGCCUUCGGGUCGUAAAGCUCUGUCCUCAAGGAAGAUAAUGACGGUACUUGAGGAGGAAGCCCCGGCUAACUACGUGCCAGCAGCCGCGGUAAUACGUAGGGGGCUAGCGUUAUCCGGAAUUACUGGGCGUAAAGGGUGCGUAGGUGGUUUCUUAAGUCAGAGGUGAAAGGCUACGGCCCAACAGUAGUAAGCCUUUGAAACUGGGCAACUUGAGUGCAGGAGAGGAGAGUGGAAUUCCUAGUGUAGCGGUGAAAGGCGUAGAUAGUAGGAGGAGCACCAGUUGCGAAGGCGGCUCUCUGGACUGUAACUGACACUGAGGCACGAAAGCGUGGGGAGCAAACA
RNAcentral lists this ribosomal RNA (401 nucleotides) under uncultured prokaryote. Its description in RNAcentral is "bacterial SSU rRNA". It matches the Rfam family "Bacterial small subunit ribosomal RNA", at positions 355 to 774 of the family's 1533-position model. The record is from RNAcentral.